ACGAGCGGCGAACGGGUGAGUAACACGUGAGCAACCUACCCUCAACUUCGGGAUAAGCCUCGGAAACGGGGUCUAAUACCGGAUAUCACUUCCUGCCUCAUGGUGGGGGGUUGAAAGUUCUGGCGGUUGGGGAUGGGCUCGCGGCCUAUCAGCUUGUUGGUGGGGUAAUGGCCUACCAAGGCGUCGACGGGUAGCCGGCCUGAGAGGGCGACCGGCCACACUGGGACUGAGACACGGCCCAGACUCCUACGGGAGGCAGCAGUGGGGAAUAUUGCGCAAUGGACGAAAGUCUGACGCAGCAACGCCGCGUGAGGGAUGACGGCCUUCGGGUUGUAAACCUCUUUCAGCAGGGACGAAGCGAGAGUGACGGUACCUGCAGAAGAAGGACCGGCCAACUACGUGCCAGCAGCCGCGGUAAUACGUAGGGUCCGAGCGUUGUCCGGAAUUAUUGGGCGUAAAGGGCUCGUAGGCGGUUCGUCACGUCGGGAGUGAAAACUCGGAGCUCAACUCCGAGCCUGCUUCCGAUACGGGCAGACUAGAGGUAGGCAGGGGAGAGCGGAACUCCUGGUGUAGCGGUGGAAUGCGCAGAUAUCAGGAAGAACACCGGUGGCGAAGGCGGCUCUCUGGGCCUUACCUGACGCUGAGGAGCGAAAGCGUGGGUAGCGAACAGGAUUAGAUACCCUGGUAGUCCACGCCGUAAACGUUGGGCGCUAGGUGUGGGGGACAUUCCACGUCCUCCGUGCCGCAGCUAACGCAUUAAGCGCCCCGCCUGGGGAGUACGGCCGCAAGGCUAAAACUCAAAGGAAUUGACGGGGGCCCGCACAAGCGGCGGAGCAUGCGGAUUAAUUCGAUGCAACGCGAAGAACCUUACCUGGGUUUGACAUAUAGGGAAAUCUCACAGAGAUGUGAGGUCCGUAAGGGUCCUAUACAGGUGGUGCAUGGCUGUCGUCAGCUCGUGUCGUGAGAUGUUGGGUUAAGUCCCGCAACGAGCGCAACCCUCGUCCUAUGUUGCCAGCACGUUAUGGUGGGGACUCAUAGGAGACUGCCGGGGUCAACUCGGAGGAAGGUGGGGAUGACGUCAAGUCAUCAUGCCCCUUAUGUCCAGGGCUUCACGCAUGCUACAAUGGCCGGUACAAAGGGCUGCGAAACUGCAAAGUGGAGCGAAUCCCAAAAAGCCGGUCUCAGUUCGGAUUGGGGUCUGCAACUCGACCCCAUGAAGUCGGAGUCGCUAGUAAUCGCAGAUCAGCAACGCUGCGGUGAAUACGUUCCCGGGCCUUGUACACACCGCCCGUCACGUCAUGAAAGUCGGCAACACCCGAAGCCGG
Molecule: ribosomal RNA, 1325 nt
Filed under: Kribbella sp.
Lineage: Bacteria; Bacillati; Actinomycetota; Actinomycetes; Propionibacteriales; Kribbellaceae
Description: bacterial SSU rRNA
Rfam family: Bacterial small subunit ribosomal RNA
Source: RNAcentral